Molecule: long non-coding RNA, 1247 nt
Organism: Musa acuminata AAA Group (dessert banana)
Lineage: Eukaryota; Viridiplantae; Streptophyta; Magnoliopsida; Zingiberales; Musaceae
Exons: 4
Source: RefSeq, a predicted model, not a curated record
UGGCAUCGAUGAUACAGGCGAUCACCACCCCGAACAUAGUGACUAACGCAAGAGUAAUAGAACAAAUCACUUCGUCGUCUCUGCCCUCUCCGUCCUCAGAACUGGUAUAGGGAGGGAGAAGACGAGGAGUGGGAGGGAGAUCGCAAGAUGGUGCUGUGGGGUUCCGCUACGACGAGAGGCGCGUCGGAUUUAUUAAGGGAUUCCGUAGGGUCUUCUACCAAGGUAGCACAGACCACAGAGGGACUCCCGAUUUCCCCGGAAGAACCGUCACUUUGGAACCCCUUCGCAGAGCAAUCUGUUGGGGAGUUGCAUACAAAGUUUCUGGUGAAGAAGAUCAGAGGAUUGCACUAGAGGGUUUGGUGUACAAAGAAAACAAAAGUUAGUUUUCGGAUUUUUCUUACUGUAAACGCGAUCGAGGAUAAAGGCAACAAAUGGAUCUGUUUAUCUCUACCUGGAAGAGUAUCUGGGACUGAGCCAAGUUCGGAACGACAAGAAACAGAAGCAGAAACAUCGAAGGACAAAAAUAGAUCCUCAUCUCUUCCUUGCUUUCUUCCGUCGAAGGAGGGAAGGAUGGAACGGGAUGGGGAUGGGAGAAGUGUGAGGGCUAAGGGCACGUAUAUAUAGCUGGAAGUGGCAGGGCAAGUAAGGCAUGAAGGGAAGUAGAUAAGCGUUGUUGUUGCCCAUAACCUGCGUGGGGUCACCGGUGAUUGGAAGAAGAUAGGGCGAAGUCCGUUGCCAACUCUCACAAGUAGAUAAGCCUUUUGAUUACUGCAGCGUCUCGGGCACGUUUGAUGGCCACAUCCAACUGUAGAAACGGCUCACAUCCCUAUUGUCGUGGCAGUCGAAGACUAGUGGAGAGGGAAGCUUCAGGCUCAUUCUCACAGAAGGAGUUAUUACCUUGUGGUCCUUUUCUUUUCCGUCCAAUAUAAGACUGUGACGAGAGACAUGGCCGUCCAAAACACGCAAGCGGUUCAAAGAUGAUGAAGCAAUUUGCAUCCCUCUGAACCCAUAUCAUUUCAUUUCGAAGCUUCAAUGACUACCUAUGGACACAGUGCCAUACCACCUUACCACUUUAUCGUAUGAAUCAUGCCCCUUACUUGACCAACCGAACGGCAAAAGACAAGCUUAAUCCAGCAAGCGAAGCAAAAACGCACAUUUCAAGUGGCAUUUAUGCUCUUCCUGUCAUGUCAGUGUCUGUUCUCCAUCAUUAUUGACUUAUCUUGCCCAACAUAGUAUCGAUUGAAUCA